Molecule: ribosomal RNA, 504 nt
Filed under: uncultured bacterium
Lineage: Bacteria
Description: partial 16S ribosomal RNA
Rfam family: Bacterial small subunit ribosomal RNA
Source: RNAcentral
AUUGAACGCUGGCGGCAUGCCUUACACAUGCAAGUCGAACGGCAGCAUGGAGAGCUUGCUCUCUGAUGGCGAGUGGCGAACGGGUGAGUAAUGCAUCGGAACGUACCGUGUAAUGGGGGAUAACGUAGCGAAAGUUACGCUAAUACCGCAUACGACCUGAGGGUGAAAGCAGGGGAUGGCAAGACCCUGCGUUAUACGAGCGGCCGAUGUCAGAUUAGCUAGUUGGUGAGGUAAAGGCUAACCAAGGCGACGAUCUGUAGCGGGUCUGAGAGGAUGAUCCGCCACACUGGGACUGAGACACGGCCCAGACUCCUACGGGAGGCAGCAGUGGGGAAUUUUGGACAAUGGGGGCAACCCUGAUCCAGCCAUGCCGCGUGAGUGAAGAAGGCCUUCGGGUUGUAAAGCUCUUUCGGCCGGGAAGAAAUCGCACAGGCUAAUACUCUGUGUGGAUGACGGUACCGGCAUAAGAAGCACCGGCUAACUACGUGCCAGCCGCCGCGGUAA